CAGGGAUUAGUCUAAAAUGGUUAAGAUACUAAUUUUGGGGAUUAGUGAUGAAUAUUUAUUUAUCUCUGA
This 69-nucleotide transfer RNA is filed under the name Ischnoptera sp. B084. RNAcentral describes it as "tRNA-Pro". The record is from RNAcentral. Lineage: Eukaryota; Metazoa; Arthropoda; Insecta; Blattodea; Blattellidae.